Molecule: ribosomal RNA, 478 nt
Filed under: uncultured bacterium
Lineage: Bacteria
Description: bacterial SSU rRNA
Rfam family: Bacterial small subunit ribosomal RNA
Source: RNAcentral
UACAGCAAGUCGAACGAACUCUGGUAUUGAUUGGUGCUUGCAUCAUGAUUUACAUUUGAGUGAGUGGCGAACUGGUGAGUAACACGUGGGAAACCUGCCCAGAAGCGGGGGAUAACACCUGGAAACAGAGCUAAUACCGCAUAACAACUUGGACCGCAGGUCCGAGUUGAAAGAUGGCUUCGGCUAUCACUUUUGGAUGGUCCCGCGGCGUAUUAGCUAGAUGGUGGGGUAACGGCUCACCAUGGCAAUGAUACGUAGCCGACCUGAGAGGGUAAUCGGCCACAUUGGGACUGAGACACGGCCCAAACUCCUACGGGAGGCAGCAGUAGGGAAUCUUCCACAAUGGACGAAAGUCUGAUGGAGCAACGCCGCGUGAGUGAAGAAGGGUUUCGGCUCGUAAAACUCUGUUGUUAAAGAAGAACAUAUCUGAGAGUAACUGUUCAGGUAUUGACGGUAUUUAACCAGAAAGCCACGGCUA